CUUUCUUUCAGAGAUGCCCUGCCCAGUGAGAAGGAAUCUAGAGAGGCAGUCACUUUGCUGCACUGUGGUCUCUCUAGCAGUCUGACACCUUCAAUAAGAGACAGUCACAUCUAUUCUUUCUGAAGACAACUACCUGGAGGAUUCAUCUACGUGACAAGAACCUUGGCUUCCACAACAACCCCCUUACCUUAUCUCAAGCUGAUUUCAACUCUUCAGGCAGAGCUUAACCCUUUCAACCAAUUGCCAAUCAGGAAAUCUUUGAAUCCACCCAUGACUUGUAAGUUCCCCCACUUGCAGUUGCCCAACCUUUCUGCACUGAACCAAUGCAUAUCUCACAUAUUGAUAUGUCUUAUGUCUCCCUAAAACACAUAAAACCAAGCUGUAACCCAACUACCUUGGGCAUGUGUGCUCAAGGCUGUGGUCAUGGAUCAUGAUCCUUAAUCUUUGCAAAAUAAACUUUUAAAUUCAUUGAGA
Molecule: long non-coding RNA, 474 nt
Filed under: Homo sapiens (human)
Lineage: Eukaryota; Metazoa; Chordata; Mammalia; Primates; Hominidae
Description: HSALNT0073489
Source: RNAcentral